RNAcentral lists this ribosomal RNA (497 nucleotides) under uncultured bacterium. Its description in RNAcentral is "partial 16S ribosomal RNA". It matches the Rfam family "Bacterial small subunit ribosomal RNA", at positions 28 to 507 of the family's 1533-position model. The record is from RNAcentral.
GAUGAACGCUGGCGGCGUGCCUAAUACAUGCAAGUCGAGCGAACAGACGAGGAGCUUGCUCCUUUGACGUUAGCGGCGGACGGGUGAGUAACACGUAGGUAACCUACCUAUAAGACUGGGAUAACUUCGGGAAACCGGAGCUAAUACCGGAUAAUAUUUCGAACCGCAUGGUUCGAUAGUGAAAGAUGGCUUUGCUAUCACUUAUAGAUGGACCUGCGCCGUAUUAGCUAGUUGGUAAGGUAACGGCUUACCAAGGCAACGAUACGUAGCCGACCUGAGAGGGUGAUCGGCCACACUGGAACUGAGACACGGUCCAGACUCCUACGGGAGGCAGCAGUAGGGAAUUUUCCGCAAUGGGCGAAAGCCUGACGGAGCAACGCCGCGUGAGUGAUGAAGGUCUUCGGAUCGUAAAACUCUGUUAUUAGGGAAGAACAAACGUGUAAGUAACUGUGCACGUCUUGACGGUACCUAAUCAGAAAGCCACGGCUAACUACGUG